This 460-nucleotide ribosomal RNA is filed under the name uncultured bacterium. RNAcentral describes it as "partial 16S ribosomal RNA". It matches the Rfam family "Bacterial small subunit ribosomal RNA", at positions 338 to 795 of the family's 1533-position model. The record is from RNAcentral.
CCUACGGGUGACAGCAGUGAGGAAUAUUGGUCAAUGGACGCAAGUCUGAACCAGCCAUGCCGCGUGCAGGAAGACGGCUCUAUGAGUUGUAAACUGCUUUUGUACGAGGGUAAACGCAGAUACGCGUAUCUGUCUGAAAGUAUAGUACGAAUAAGGCUCGGCUAACUCCGUGCCAGCAGCCCCGGGAAUACGGAGGAUUCAAGCGUUAUCCGGAUUUAUUGGGUUUAAAGGGUGCGUAGGCGGUCGGAUAAGUUAGAGGUGAAAUCCCGAGGCUCAACUUCGGAAUUGCCUCUGAUACUGUUCGGCUAGAGAGUAGUUGCGGUAGGCGGAAUGUAUGGUGUAGCGGUGAAAUGCUUAGAGAUCAUACAGAACACCGAUUGCGAAGGCAGCUUACCAAGCUACUUCUGACGUUGAGGCACGAAAGCGUGGGUAGCAAACAGGAUUAGAUACCCCUGUAGUC